AUUAUACUCCCUCCGUUGCACAAUACAUGCCUUCUAUUUGUCAAAAUAUAUAUGUAUCUAGACAUGUUUUAGUAUAUAGGUACAUCCAUUUUUGGACAAAUGGAAGUCAAGUAUUUUGGAACGGAGGGAGUACACA
Triticum aestivum (bread wheat) is the source of this 136-nucleotide non-coding RNA. NCBI's taxonomy places the organism in Eukaryota, Viridiplantae, Streptophyta, Magnoliopsida, Poales, Poaceae. The record is from Rfam.